This 774-nucleotide long non-coding RNA is filed under the name Homo sapiens (human). RNAcentral's name for it is "HSALNT0170408". Lineage: Eukaryota; Metazoa; Chordata; Mammalia; Primates; Hominidae. The record is from RNAcentral.
GACCAUCCACUAGCUGUUAGCCCCGAGCAGCCUUCCUGCCCUUGGGGAAAAUCAAUCCAUCAGCAGCCAGCCCAGAGGCGCUGGCUCUUAGCAGAGCAGUGAUGGUGAUAAAUGGCUGUGAGGCUGCAGCUUGCUGCCACACACUUUCCCCAGGUCCUCCUGCAGCAGCCAGCAGGGCUGGGAGGCAGCCCUGAGCUCAGGGGAAGAUCCGGUGCGGCCAGUGGAAUCCAGGCUGCAUCUCAGUCCUGCAGCUCAGCAGCAGAUUUUCCAGGCUCCAGGCACCAUGUGUCGGUCAGAUGAGGCCAGGCACGUAAUCAGCUCACUUGAAGAGACCCUGUGCAGCACCCUGUGCAUACCACCGUGUGCACACACAUGCACGGAGACACAGACACAUGCACAGAGCUGCACCCACAGGCACAUGCAUGCACACACAGACACACACACGAUGUGACACAUGCACACACGAUGCAACGUGAACCAACAGACACGUGCAUGUACACACGCAGGCACACACACACACGAUGUGACGCACGCAGGCACAGCUGCACCUGCAUACACAUGCAUGCACACACCGACACACACACACGAUGUGGGACAUGCGUGCACACAGGCAUAGAGCUGAACCUGCAUACACAGGCAUGCACACACACCGACACACACACACACACGAUGUGAGACAUGCAUGCACACAGGCAUAGAGCUGAACCUGCAUGCACAUGCAUGCACACACACCGACACACACACACAAUGUGACGCAUGCACGCAGGCACAGCU